Non-coding RNA from Sorex fumeus (smoky shrew), 263 nucleotides. The record is from RefSeq and is a predicted model, not a curated record. NCBI's taxonomy places the organism in Eukaryota, Metazoa, Chordata, Mammalia, Eulipotyphla, Soricidae.
CGUGAGCAGCCCAGGAGCCACGUGAAUUGCUGGUGCCCUGGAGCACACAGACUGCGUGCAGAAAGAGCAUCUUCCAGAGGAAGCAAAGGCACGACUGCCUGAGUCCCAGUAACUCGUGUGCAGUUCUCCUCCCACAGUUAUUAGGUGAUGCUGCCAGUGAUGACGAGUGGACCAUGUUGCUAUCUGUCAGUAACAGUUAGAGAAGUUGGAAUAUUGUUCUCAAACACAGUGGUUUCUGCUGGACACUAAGGACUGCUAUAAAU